RNAcentral lists this unclassified non-coding RNA (224 nucleotides) under Primula blue yellows phytoplasma. RNAcentral's name for it is "16S-23S ribosomal RNA intergenic spacer". The stretch from base 77 to 150 matches the Rfam family "tRNA". The record is from RNAcentral. Lineage: Bacteria; Bacillati; Mycoplasmatota; Mollicutes; Acholeplasmatales; Acholeplasmataceae.
AGGAAACCRAUAAAAUCAAUCAUCUUCAGUUUUGAAAGACUUAGGAUAACUAAGUUUUUCUUCGUGACUUCACGAAGGGCCUAUAGCUCAGUUGGUUAGAGCACACGCCUGAUAAGCGUGAGGUCGGUGGUUCAAGUCCAUUUAGGCCCACCAGAGUUAUAGGUGUCGUAAGAACACAAAUUCUUUGAAAAUUAGGUAAAUAAUAGUUAUUUUUCCGGAACAUU